Molecule: non-coding RNA, 6349 nt
Organism: Oryzias latipes (Japanese medaka)
Lineage: Eukaryota; Metazoa; Chordata; Actinopteri; Beloniformes; Adrianichthyidae
Source: RefSeq, a predicted model, not a curated record
CAGAAUACAGUGGAUUCAUAAAUAAUCGUCGCAAAACGCGUAUAUCAAUUAGAAAGGGCUUGUCCAAUGUCCAGCAGAGGGUGCUAGGUCCUUCGCUAGGACAACUUUAACAGGUUCAGCAGGGUUGGCUCGCCAUCUUGUUUCAUUCCGCACUUGGGUUUCGAAAGGAACAAGUUCUUUCUUCGCCCCAACCUUACUGGCCUAUCAUUCCAACUUAAAAUACACUCAAAUAGAUAAAAUAAAGACUAGAUAAUCCGUUCAAAUAAAUAAAUAUAAGGUCGUUACUUUUUUUACAGAACUAUUUCAAGUUGCAAAGCACAUGGCGGGUGGAAUGUCCAGGCAAAGCCUACAUUUAUCGAGAGACAUCCAUGCUUUUUGGCUGUUUGUGGUGUGUUCGAAUAAGUGGGCGUUGAUGCUGAUGAUUCUCUGCCUAUUUCUUCCUGUCUUGGGUCGUGCGGUGUAUGGGGCACGGACAGCUCCCCAAUUAAGCCACUUAGUUAGUAGUUCGGCUAUAGCGACUUACCAGCUGGAUAGUUACAAUAUAUUUAAGGAAAUUCUUUUUUUCUUCUUCCAGGCAAGACGGGUGGAAAGUCUAAACCCAACCAGAACUCGUCUCGUCUCCUUCUUCAUUUGGGAAAUGUGCACAACGGACGCUCAGUUAACAUACAUGAAAGCUCUUAUAUCUGCAUCAACCCGAUUGGCUGUUGCCGGUCACAUGGAUCACAUCAACUAGAGACUGCAUAUAAAUAAUAAGGAAACCAAACAAAAUUGGGUUUACCAGUUUGUUUGUUUUAUUUCUUCUUCCACAUUUAACUUCAAAAACAACAAUAAUAGGAAAUGACAUUUUCAACAAUUGCUAACAAUUUUCAAUUUUUUCUGUUUUAUUUUUUUUUUAUUUUUAGGUAUUUCUUUAAAUUUUAUUUAAAUUUCUUAUGUUUUAUUUUCAUGGGUAUUUUAACUUGGGUUACAAUAUGCUAAAGUAUGCUUUCGGAAAUUCCGGUGCUACCGCAAAUUCAAAAACAUUAUAUUUUAAUAAAUAAAUAUUUGAGAGCAUGCAGGCCAGCGAAUUGUUUAAUCCACCUAUUAGAAACAACAGAAAUAAGAAAUACAGGAUUAUAGUCCAAUCCUUAACUUAAACAUAUUUUAAAUUAGAAAUUAUUUGUUACAUAUGCUCAAAACAGGGAAUGUGUUAAACAAACUUCAUAUGAUGGAGUUGGUAGAGCUUUUUAGAAAACUUUGAGUAUUAGCUACUCAUUUUAUUUAAUUACUUUGAACGUUCGGGUUUACAGUUUGGCGGGCCACAUUUGGGCCCCGGACCUUGAGUUUGACAUGUUAAGUAGAGUCUGCGGCUGAUUAUUACUGUAUUUUCAGCACUGAAAGGCGCACCAACCGUCAACGAAUGGUCUAUUACGGUAUGCCUUAUGUCAACCUUAUGUCAACCAUAAGGCACACCAGCAAACAAGACAAAAGAGAUAAGUCUGUCUGUCUGUUGUAUUAAAUGUGUUCACAGUAACUGUAGAACUUGUUUGUGACAUUUUACACUUUAGCAAUGUUAAAAGUGUUAGCUAUGAGUGUUCACAAUACCUCUUUUGGCUUUAACAAGCGUUACUGUGACUACGCUAACUCCCAACCUUAUAAAUACAGAAACACGGUCUGACACCGUUACACGUUAGCCAUGUUAGCCACAUUGGAAUAUUCCCCAUAAAACCAGAGUAUUUGGAAGUCGUAAAAGAACGGACAGACAGUUUAACAGAGCGCAGUCUUAUGUUAAUUUUUCUUAUGUAGCCAUGCAUUUUGCAUUGUUCCUAUCUGGUUAUCUACACACUACAUGGUUUCAGUCACAUUGUAAGUAAGAAGUUCUGAUCCUGGAUGGUUUCUUUGUGUGUGCAGUUUGCACAUCCUUGUGUCUUUCCUCUGGGUGCUGUGGCUUCUUCCCUCGAUCCAAAAAUAUGUUGUGUAAUUUUGGUAUUCUAAGUUUCCCCCACAGGAGUGAGAAUGAAUUUGCGUGCUGGACUGUGUACACAGUCUGGCAACCUGUCAAAGUUGUAUCCUGCCUUGAAGACUAAUGGGACAGGCUGCAGCGGCUUCUGCGACUUCUAUGAAUGCUUAUAUUUGGUCCUCGUGUUUUCUACUCCUCAGUUUAUUCUUUUUUCAGUUUGUUCAUAUUUUACUUUUUACUUCUUUUUUUAAAGAUACUUUCAGGUUCAACUGUUUAGGUUUCUACUAUUUUUACCUCUGGCCACACAUGACAAAUGUUGGAAAGUUCAACUGGAAAUGGUGUGGACUGACAAAACGGGCAAUCUUUGAUUUGUGCAGCAUCCCUGGCCGCUUCUGGACAGCUUCUGUGGUCGGAAACACAUCCUGUCCCAUCUCUGUGGGAACCCGACUGGUGGUGGUCCACAUUCCAGAAGAUAACUACAUAGAAAAGCGGAAGGCAGGUUUUCGAGAUAAAGGUCCAAAACAAGCCUGCUAACAAACGUUAAACACUUUACAGCUUGUUUCCAUCAAUAUGCAGAUUUGAAAGUGACAGCCGUUCUGGCAAAGUACAGUCACUGAAGGCAUUCAUCACAUUUACAGCACAAGCCUUUAAGCUUACGCCCAUGUGCUAAUUGUUUAUAGAACAAAACCAUUCCAUUUGUCAUGUCAGUUUAAUAGGCUUCCCUGUAGGUCAGAGGGGGGAGCAUGUUUUUAUUUGGCAUGUUUCUUGGAAUAAAUCUCCACAUAUUACUCACACAGACGGAUUCCAAGAGUUUGUGUUGAACGCCAGCUCCAAAAGCUGGCAUCAUAGACACGUGCGUUUCUGUGAACAGUCUAACAUUCCUUGCUUUUUUUUGCCACAAGGUUUCCAUCUUAAUAAAAAAAGAUGUGUUCUCUGCACGGUUUUGAAAUGUGAAGGAAUCACUUGUCCCAGAGGUGGAGCGGAAAUUAUACUCAUGAAGUACUUUGGGACAAACAAAGGGGAGUCGCAUCUCAAACACGGCUAACUCGAGUAAACAGUAAAGUGCAUCCCAGGGCAACAAUCUGGACCGCAAUGUUUGGUCUAACCGGAACAUGAACCCACUCCAGGGAGCCUCUAAUCUGACUGGGGCUCUGUUAUGACUGUGGGGGUUGGACGAAGGUUGGAUGUUUGAGGAGGUACAGGUCAGGGGUCUCUGUUAGAGGACUGGGUGGCCACUUUAGGGGGCAUUUAGGCCUCAGGCUGUAGAAGGUGGGUGCUGCUCAAGGAGCCAGGAUAAUCACAGAACAGAGCAUUGGCCCAAAUGAGGCAUACAAGCUGAAAGUGAGACUUUUCAUCUGUAAGAUUAUGUGUUUAAACUUACAAUAAAUGCAAUCACGUUACAUGGAAGGAUAUGAUUAAGAGAUGAUUAUAGAGAAAAAGUAUGGCAGCCCCUCCCAACUCUGCUAGCAUCGUGGCCUCCAUCAACACACAAACACACACGCCUUCCCAAGCCUGACUGGUUAGAUUGCUCACACAUGCUCGUGGCAGACUGCCACGCGACAGCACAGGAGGCCUAGCAGGCAUGGCAGGCAUCUGCUGGGACGACCGGAGAGCGUGAACCUGCACGGGGGAUUCGGGCCUCCAAAAACAACGGCAGCAGUCCGGUCCACCCUGCCUGUCAAAUGAGCUUCAGUUCGAGUGUGUCACAGACCGACGUCUGGACUGGAGCCGCAUGGAAAUGUGAACAGCAUGGCUCAGUAAGCCUGGGUGUGUGAGGACUGCAUUUUUGAUUUGAGAAGUUGGACAAAGGGAGCAAACACCAGAACCAGAGGACAAAACCAGGCCACCCGGUCAAACUCAGUCGCUGAAAGAUUCAUCAUGCAGUCCAAGAUUGGGUUACUGACCACGUUUAGAGCCCCCAGAGGAGGAAACCGAAGAGGAGCUGCUUACAGGGGAAGUAGAAAUGAUGUCCUUUCCGAUUCAUUGAAACAGUUGUCAUUUACUCCGUAGAGUACUGCAGGCUUAGAACACACAAACAAGCUUGGUGAUUGUUUGAUCCGCACAAAAAGAAUCAGUGUCAGCAACGCUUUGCUAAACAAGCAAAUUCUGAACCGCAUCAGAAUACUGUUCUAUAAAAGUGUCCUGACGUGUUUCACUUCUGUGUUAAUCCACUGUGGUGCCUGUAAAUUCUGUAUAUAUUUGCUUUAAAGGUCAAGUAGGAAUAGCUGGUUUACUUCUUUGUGUUUUUUUCCCUGUUCACUUUCAUUUGAACCAUAAUGCUCCCAAAUGAGCAGAUGGGAGUACUGCCUGGAUUUCUUUUGUGGUUUUUUUUCAAAGGGAACACACUGUUGCUUCAUUCUUACCCACUCCAGUGAAAAUUGUGUUUUUGACAUGUUCUUGAGACAUUUUAUGAUGAUGGAGGACAAAGCUAAAGAGUAUUUCUUUAUUCAAAUUGAUGUGAAUCAGGAGCAGUCGUAAAAAAUUCCAUUGUGUGCUUGUGACAUAAAUAAAUAUGCUGGGCGGGCCACAAGCUCCCUGCUUUGCUCCAUUCUGAUGCAUCCAUUAUAGACACAUAGAUUCAUGUGCGUCUCUGUUUUCCUCAUUUGAGCUGGAAUCUGGAUCAAAACUGUACGGCUGGAUCACUCCAAUAUUGCACGCCAUUGUUGUUGCACCAGUUGUAUUAGGUUGGGGUUGUGAGUAGCUGUAAGCCAGCAGAAGAGCAUAUAUACACAGAUGGAUGAUGGGAAGAGGGCGUGCUUACUCCCCACCAACACCUCAGAGAGGAAUUUCUAAUGAGCUCCAGCUGUUCUGCAGAGACCAUAUCCUAGAAGAUGACACAAGUUGUGUGAUUUAGGCUAAAAAUGUCAUAAUCGUGACCACUCGGAAUGCUUUUACUACAGAUCAAAAUAUGAUCAGAGUGAAACUUAAAGGCGGGCUAGAAAUAGAAGGUAAAUAGAAUAAAAUCAGUUCACCAGAUGACCACUAGGUCGCCAGUUCCUACACGUUAGUUUCUGUCUAAUCUAAUGUAAAACAGCUCAAAUAAACAGUGUGGCUUAAAACCUUUUUAUCCAAACUCAUGUUAUUUUUAUCCCAAAAAUUUGUUUUGAAGACGAAUUUUUAUUCUUUUAUGUUAUAUUUAAGGUGAAAAUCGUAGUUCAAGCCUCACCCACUAAAUUAUCCAUGUUUUAAAGAAGGCGUUCAAUGACAUCAUAACCAGCUGAGGUGAUAACGACCACAGAGCUGAGAAACUGGCUUUAAAUAGGCUUGACUCUAACCAGAUGGUCACAUGAUCACAGGAUCUGUCCAUCUUAUUUUUUUACCACAAUAUUUACUACUGUUCACUUUGACGAAUAUUGUGUGUAAAAAAAAAAAAAUAAGCAUCACAUUAAUAAAUCAUCUGCCAGACUGUCCCAGUGUUGAAGUUUCCUCUGAAGCAACAGGGAUCCUAACGUUUGGGUUCAGGGGCAGACCCUCUCUCAAUGAGGGAAUGAGGGUGGGAGUGAGAUAACAGCUGGGGCCAUUUGGGUUAAGGAUAAAUAUUCUCUCUACUAGCUUUUCUGAGUUCAUCCUCCACGGGGAGCGGCAUUCAUUCCUCGACUCACCCCUCACCUUUAAUCAUCAUCUCCCUGUUCUGCUCGUAAACAAAAGGCUCCAGCAAACAGGAGCAAAAAGCUCUUCCCUUCAGUCAGCCAGCUGCCAUUCCGCUUCUCCAAUCUGAUAACAAAAAACCUACAUCUCUUCGUCUUUAAUUGCUUCGGCGCUCACGUCGGAACCAAGAGUGGAAAAUUCCACAACUCCCAGAUAACUUCACUCCUGAACCGCCUCGCUCCAAAUUAAAGGCAUGUGUGGAAUUUGGUGCAAGAGGUCCAACAUGGGAAAGACGAGGAGUGAAAUGCGUUGAGAAGUAGCUGAAAGAAGCGACCCCUCCCCGUAACUACCCGAAAAAUAUAGGCACGAAAAAGGCCGCACAUGCCCCGAAUGCCUGUUGAUGGAAAGAAAACACACAUCCCAAUUCACGUCUGCCGAAGAUAACCAGCCUGCAAAAUGAAAACCUGUCGUCGGAGUGGGAAGGCUGUACCCUAUUUUCUAUCCGGACUCUAAAAACAAAGGAGGAAGGAGGAGCACCAUCAUAUAAAAAUUUACUGAAUACAAACAUACCGGUGAACGCAACACUUUAGUUAUUGCUCCCAUUUGUCCUGAAAUGAACUCAAAGAUCUGAAACAUUUUCUACAAACACAAAAAAAACAUUUUUCUCAAAUUGUUUUCAUAAAUCUGUGAUAAUAAGCACUUCUCCUUUGCUGAGAUAAUCCAUUCCUCCUCAAAGGUGUGCCAAAUCAAGAUGCUGAUUAGAUUGCAUGAUUGUUGCACAGGUGUGCCUUAGACUGACGACAAUAAAAGGCUACUCUGAAA